UGGUGACUCCUCUUAUGUUGUCAGUUGUCC
Molecule: non-coding RNA, 30 nt
Filed under: Rattus norvegicus (Norway rat)
Lineage: Eukaryota; Metazoa; Chordata; Mammalia; Rodentia; Muridae
Source: RNAcentral